Molecule: ribosomal RNA, 253 nt
Filed under: uncultured bacterium
Lineage: Bacteria
Description: partial 16S ribosomal RNA
Rfam family: Bacterial small subunit ribosomal RNA
Source: RNAcentral
UACGUAGGGGGCGAGCGUUGUCCGGAGUUACUGGGCGUAAAGCGCACGCAGGCGGUCUGCUAAGUUUGGAGUGACAGUUGGUGGCUUAACUGCCAAAGUGCUUCGAAAACUGACAGACUUGAGGGCUUCAGAGGGACACGGAAUUCCGGGUGGAGUGGUGAAAUGCGUAGAGAUCCGGAGGAACACCAAAGGCGAAGGCAGGUCUCUGGGCAUUAACUGACGCUGAGGAGCGAAAGCAUGGGGAGCGAACAGG